CGAAAACUACGAAAGUCACAACCGUGUCCUUAAAACGAAUAAACCGAAACGAUGGUGCAUUCGUGUUUCUCAAUAUUUGAGUCGAUCACAUUUCGAGGAAUUAUGACGAUAUACGCAGCAUCUCGCUUCGCUGCUGUUGGGUCCAACCAUAUCGCGCGAUAAUAACGCAAGAAAAUAAGACCUUCAAAAUGAAGAAGUUGAAAACAGAUGGCAUAUUGAUCUUACAC
Molecule: long non-coding RNA, 227 nt
Organism: Trachymyrmex cornetzi
Lineage: Eukaryota; Metazoa; Arthropoda; Insecta; Hymenoptera; Formicidae
Exons: 3
Source: RefSeq, a predicted model, not a curated record